Molecule: ribosomal RNA, 467 nt
Filed under: uncultured bacterium
Lineage: Bacteria
Description: partial 16S ribosomal RNA
Rfam family: Bacterial small subunit ribosomal RNA
Source: RNAcentral
GACGAACGCUGGCGGCGUGCUUAACACAUGCAAGUCGAACGGAAAGGCCCUGCUUUUGUGGGGUGCUCGAGUGGCGAACGGGUGAGUAACACGUGAGUAACCUGCCCUUGACUUUGGGAUAACUUCAGGAAACUGGGGCUAAUACCGGAUAGGAGCUCCUGCUGCAUGGUGGGGGUUGGAAAGUUUCGGCGGUUGGGGAUGGACUCGCGGCUUAUCAGCUUGUUGGUGGGGUAGUGGUUUACCAAGGCUUUGACGGGUAGCCGGCCUGAGAGGGUGACCGGCCACAUUGGGACUGAGAUACGGCCCAGACUCCUACGGGAGGCAGCAGUGGGGAAUAUUGCACAAUGGGCGGAAGCCUGAUGCAGCAACGCCGCGUGCGGGAUGACGGCCUUCGGGUGGUAAACCGCUUUCGCCUGUGACGAAGCGUGAGUGACGGUAAUGGGGAAAGAAGCACCGGCUAACUACGU